CAGCAGCCGCGGUAAUACGGAGGGUGCAAGCGUUAAUCGGAAUUACUGGGCGUAAAGCGUGCGUAGGCGGUUAUAUAAGACAGAUGUGAAAUCCCCGGGCUCAACCUGGGAAUUGCAGUGGAUACUGGGUCACUAGAGUGUGGUAGAGGAUAGUGGAAUUUCCGGUGUAGCAGUGAAAUGCGUAGAGAUCGGAAGGAACAUCUGUGGCGAAGGCGACUAUCUGGGCCAACACUGACACUGAGGCACGAAAGCGUGGGGAGCAAACAGGAUUAGAUACCCGGUAGUCCCUGUCUCUUAUACA
RNAcentral lists this ribosomal RNA (301 nucleotides) under uncultured bacterium. RNAcentral's name for it is "partial 16S ribosomal RNA". It matches the Rfam family "Bacterial small subunit ribosomal RNA", at positions 509 to 808 of the family's 1533-position model. The record is from RNAcentral.